AGAUAAUAAAUGUUUCGUCUUGGGUUCCAAGGAGCUGGCUGCAUCCAAACUGCAAUGAACCUAUACCAUAGAACACAGAACACAAACAUUGAACCUGCUGAGCCUGUAUGAAGCUACUAUCCCAGGACUGUGAAAAGUAGACUAGUUGAGGAAGAAUUCAAGUCGACACUGAACUAGUGGUAGAGCUCUCAUCAUACAGAUCGUUGGAAAGUAGCAUCCCGACAGUUCUGAGAGAAAAAAA
This 241-nucleotide long non-coding RNA is filed under the name Homo sapiens (human). RNAcentral describes it as "HSALNT0374430". The record is from RNAcentral. Lineage: Eukaryota; Metazoa; Chordata; Mammalia; Primates; Hominidae.